This 253-nucleotide ribosomal RNA is filed under the name uncultured bacterium. Its description in RNAcentral is "partial 16S ribosomal RNA". It matches the Rfam family "Bacterial small subunit ribosomal RNA", at positions 524 to 776 of the family's 1533-position model. The record is from RNAcentral.
UACAGAGGUCUCAAGCGUUGUUCGGAUUCAUUGGGCGUAAAGGGUGCGUAGGCGGCGCGGUAAGUCGGGUGUGAAAUCCCGAGGCUCAACCUCGGGUCUGCAGUCGAUACGAGCAAACUAGAGUGUUGCAGGGGAGACUGGAAUUCCUGGUGUAGCGGUGAAAUGCGCAGAUAUCAGGAGGAACACCGGUGGCGAAGGCGGGUCUCUGGGCAACAACUGACGCUGAGACGCGAAAGCGUGGGGAGCAAACAGG